RNAcentral lists this ribosomal RNA (200 nucleotides) under uncultured bacterium. Its description in RNAcentral is "partial 16S ribosomal RNA". It matches the Rfam family "Bacterial small subunit ribosomal RNA", at positions 8 to 212 of the family's 1533-position model. The record is from RNAcentral.
AGAGUUUGAUCCUGGCUCAGAUUGAACGCUGGCGGCAUGCCUAACACAUGCAAGUCGAACGGCAGCACAGCAGUAGCAAUACUGUGGGUGGCGAGUGGCGGACGGGUGAGUAAUGCAUCGGGAUCUACCCAAACGUGGGGGAUAACGUAGGGAAACUUACGCUAAUACCGCAUACGUCUUACGAGAGAAAGCAGGGGACC